UAUAUAAAAGCUGGCAUCCAAGAUAGGAG
This 29-nucleotide non-coding RNA is filed under the name Rattus norvegicus (Norway rat). Lineage: Eukaryota; Metazoa; Chordata; Mammalia; Rodentia; Muridae. The record is from RNAcentral.